RNAcentral lists this long non-coding RNA (238 nucleotides) under Elaeis guineensis (African oil palm). RNAcentral's name for it is "long non-coding RNA (EGUI_LNC029692)". The record is from RNAcentral. Lineage: Eukaryota; Viridiplantae; Streptophyta; Magnoliopsida; Arecales; Arecaceae.
GCAUACAAGUGAGAUGUAGGGGUACAUCAUUACUGAAUAAGUGACUCACCUGCUGAGCGUUCUACUGUCAAAAACUGCUCGCAAAAUACAUGGGUGUAAGUAUCCUUCAAACCUGAGAUCACCAUAGUGACUUACAAGCAACUCACUAUGCUUGGGUGUCGGACUACCUAGAUUUCUAAUGCAGUGGUGGAAGGCUAUUGGGUACAGUCAAGUACUUGCGAAGUCUGUGUGUAGAUCA